GACGGAGGGUGCAAGCGUUGUUCGGAUUGACUGGGCGUAAAGGGCGUGUAGGCGGUUGGUCAAGUCUGAUGUGAAAGCCCGGGGCUCAGCCCCGGAAGGGCAUCGGAAACUAGCCAGCUGGAGCGCGAUAGAGGAGGGUGGAAUUCCUGGUGUAGCGGUGAAAUGCGUAGAUAUCAGGAGGAACACCGGCGGCGAAGGCGGCCCUCUGGAUCGUUGCUGACGCUGAGACGCGAAAGCGUGGGGAGCAAACAGG
RNAcentral lists this ribosomal RNA (253 nucleotides) under uncultured bacterium. Its description in RNAcentral is "partial 16S ribosomal RNA". It matches the Rfam family "Bacterial small subunit ribosomal RNA", at positions 524 to 776 of the family's 1533-position model. The record is from RNAcentral.